CAUUCGGAGUUGAGCCUAGGAUAGGAGGGGAAAAUCUAUUAAAAAAAAAAAAAAUCAGGAGCAUCUCUCAGAGAAACCCUUUUCAACAAAAUCAAGGACCAGAGAACCUCAGACCGACCCUAACGUUCCUGCUGUGAGGCCCGCGGGCUAUGGAAUCACGCACGUCACCUGGCCCCAGCAGGGCGGCCAGCUGAGGGGGUUCUUUUUAUUUUAUUUUCCUUUAUUUUUUGAAGUUAAGGCUGAAUCUCGGCUUCAGUGCUUUUGCCAACGUCUCCACUGACAGGAACCAGCAAACUUCAGGACUCAAAUGAGCGUCUUAAUUUAUUGAUGCAAAACAGGUCUGAUUGUCGCCCCCAAUUCUCGGCGCGCUCGGUCCCCCACGCCCCCAGCUUCGGUCCCUCCAUUUGAUCUCAGGGUCAAAAGUGGAUCAUUGAGGCAGUUGACAAAUAAUUAAGACGUGGUACUUAAGGAAAGAAAUCAUAAGGAGGAAAUGGACCGGACUAGUACAAGUAUGAUUUGCUUAUGCCGCCAAGUGUGAAGUUGCACUUGAGAGUAAAUGAUCUCCUCACCUGCUAACACCACACAAGAGCUGAAGAAGGAAAACAAAGAAGGAGAAUCAGAGAAGACUAUCGGGAGAAAUUCAGAACAUCUUCACCUGGAUUUUCAUGGGUACUCGUCAUCUCUUUCCUGGAACGCUGUGCCCACCUCCCGACUGGCUUUCCUGUUUCCAGUCUUUCCUCCCUCGUAUCUAUUCUCCAUCACCGGUAUGAGUCAUUGAUCUACAACAACAUCUAUCUGACUGUGUCACCACUGUCAGCAGUUCCCAAUGACAUGACUGUGGUAUUCCUCAAACUCAGCGAACCUCAAAGAUGGACCCCUGAGGAUUCAAGGAGCUAAUACUUAUUGACUGCGUACUGUUUGCCAGACUCUGACUCCAUGCUUUACCUAUCUUGUUUCAUUAAACCCCGAAAGCAUCUUGUGAGGUGAGCAUUAUGUUUAUUACCAUUUUACAGGAAACGGAUGCUUAAGAAAGAUCACAAGCUUGCCUGCACACGUGCCCAGUGAACGGCAGGGUCACUCUGAAGCCUGCUUUCCAGGCCUCUGAUGGUGGCAACUCUUCCAUAUCCAUAGUGAUCGUAUGUCUUCUUGUUUUCUGGCCCCCUUUCCCAUGUCCUGGCUCCCACUUGUCCUCUCAGUGCUGCAGAAGACACUAGCUCCAUUCUCUGUCUUGGGCUUUGGAUGAGUGGUUCCAUUCUUACCCUCUGUGCCUGCCAUACUCUUAGUUUUGUGAAGUUUUUGUUUUCAGCUCUAGCAUUGGAGUGGUCACCAACGUCACUAUCUCUACUGGAUCUAGCAGAAGUCUGGCCAAACUCCUAGGACAUUGUGUGUAUGUGUGUGUGUUUUCAUAUUUUUAUUUUUAGUUUCCUUCUCUUUCUUUUUAAAAACAGAUUGAGAUAUAAUACACAUACCUUAUAAUUGAUCCAUUUAAGCCUACAAUUCAGCAGUUUUAGUAUAGUCACAGAUACAUACAACCAUCACCAGCGUCAGUUUUAGAAUAUUUUUGUCUCCACAAAGAGAAACACUAUACCCUUUAGGUCUUACUCCCUCCCUUGAUUUCUCCAUCUCCCUCAGCCCUAAUCGACCACUAAUCUACUUUCUGUCUCUGGGGAUUUGCUUAUUCCGGACAUUUUAUGUAAAUGGAAUCACAUAAUACAUGGUCUUGUGUAACUGGCUUCUUGCGCUUAACAUAAUGUUUCAAAGAUCCUACAUACUGUAACAUGUAUCAAUGCUUCAUUCCUUACUCUGACUGAAUAGUACUCCAUUGUGUAUAUCACCUUGUAUUUUUCCGCUUGGGUUGUUUCCACGUUUUGGUAAUUGUGAAUAGUGCUGCUGUGAACUUUCAUGUACCAGUGUCUGUUUGAAAAUCUCCUUUCAAUUCUUUGGGGGUAUAUACCUAGGGAUGAAAUUGCUGGGUCUCGAGUCUAUGUUGCACUGUAAACAUUAUUUUAUUUUAUUUUAAUUUUUUUAAGUGUACUUAUUUAUUUUGAGAGAGAGUGAGAGGGGGAGGGGCAUGUAGAGAGAGAGGGAGAGAGAGAACCCCAAGCAGACUCCACACUAUCAGCGCAGAGCCUGAUGCGGGGCUUGGACCCACAAACCGCAAGAUCACUACCUGAGCCAAAACCAAGAGUUGGAUGCUUAACUGACUGAACCACCUGAGCACCCCUGUUUUUUUUUUUAAUUAGAGAGAGAGAGAGAGAACAUGAAUGGGGGAGAGGGGCUGAGAGAAAGAAUCCCAAGCAGGCUCCCCAAGGAGCCUGAUGCAAGGCUCAAUUCCAUGACCCUGGGACCACAAUCCAAGCUGAAAUCAAGAGUCUGAUGCUCAACUGACUGAGCUACCCAGACGCCCCUAUGUUACACUUUUUGAGGAACCACUAAACUGUUUUCCACAGUAGCUGUGGAAUUUUAUAUUCUUGUGAGCAAUGUAUAAUGGUUCCAAUUUCUCCACAAACUUGCUUUUUUAUGUUGUUUUUCUUGUUUUUGUCAGUGGUGGUGUUUUUUGUUUGUUUGUUUGUUUUUUUGUUUGUUUUUUUGAUUGUAGCCAUUCUAGUGGGUGUUAAGUGGCCUACUAUUUAAGAUCUUUUAGAGACUUUUCAAGAAAACUUUAUUCUUUUGUGUUCUCAAGAUUGGUUUAUAACUCCCUUAUUUGUCAUCAUAUCCUAUAAUCUCUCUCUUUCUUUCUCUGCCUCUUUAUCCGUUUCUUGAAACCAGAAUGGACAGUCUUGUUCCUUUUGUAUUUUUCCUGGGCUCAGAACAUGCUUGUGCUGGAGUGAAUAAAGGCAUGGGGUGACUUGUGAGGACAAGGAGUGCUGGGAAUCAGCAUUUCUGUGUAAUCCCUUCCAUUGUGCCAGACACUGUUGUAGCACCAACAUGUCUUAUCUUAUUCAAUUUUCACAAGAAUAGUAAGAACAAGGUGUUCAUUUCGCAGAAGAAGAAACAGACCAGAGACCAUCUCUUGUCACCCACCUGAGCAGAGCUUGACUUCAGACCCAACCCUCUCUGAAUCCAGGACCUGUGUUAAUUUCAUGACAAUGUGCCACAAGAGAAAAAAAAAAAAAGACAUGAGAAGGACCAUUACUACUCUUUUUCUUGUUACUGGGACUACCUCCACGUAUUGGAUGCCUCCUGGUGCCAUACACCAUGACAGCUAAAUUUUGGAUACCAUCAAAUCUAAUCACUUUAAGAAUCUAGUGAUUCAGAUGUUAUUAUUAUUUCAGAGAAUGAAACAGUCACUGAGAAGUUAAGUAACUGCCCAAGAACAAACAGCAAGUAAACCAUGAGCUCAAAACUGGGUUGGCUUCAUUGCAAAGUGUGGGUACUUCUGUCAAUGUAGGAAAACGCAUUUAAGAUCUGGAAGUUUCGCCUGGAAACCUGAGAGUUGUGAGAUAAGUCAGGAAAUCAGGCAACCAGACUGCUCAAUAAUUUUUCCAGAUAAUUUUUCCAAGUACUUUUGUUUUCUUAUUUGCUUCCAGUCAUGAUUUUGGUGGUGUAGAUAUUCCACUAAAUCUACGUAUUAUGAAAAAGUACUCCGUGAUCCUAAAAAAGAAUGUUCUGCUUAUUGGCUUAUUCCCCAUUAUGUUUUAAAGCAUCUUACCUAUAUAAUACAUGUAAAAUAUACUACAUCUGAUCAAACCAUUUUUUUUUUUAGAUUAUAGUAGUAAUUUGGCUAUUCUUGCUUUUAACAAUUUGAGCAUUCAUUCAAUAUUUAUUCCACAUAGCCAUUUUUUCUUUUACUGUGUAAAUCCUACCUGGAGAUCUAUGAAAUACUGGUAAGAGUCUAUGGUAAAGAUAAAUAAGGAAUAUUAUAACUAGCAUAGAAGAUUUUAAAACUAUACUCUGAUUUUAUACUAAUUUGUAGUCUCUGAUUUAAGAGGCUCUAUCCUAGAUCACUACUAAGCUAUUAAAUGUCGGGAAACCUCUGCAUGGCAGUAUUUUGGGGCCAGGUGUAAGUGGAAAAGAAGAGGCCUCAGAUGACUUUAAAUAAUUUUAAUCAAUAUGUUUUCUCAUUCCCGGUAUCCUAUUUUGAUGUUUCACUCAUUCUUCUUGUACCAUGCUCUUCAUUGCUCUUCAUACCUUUGUCAAGGAUUUUUUUUUUUAAACAGAGACCUAGGUUACCAUUUGGCAUAUGUCUCCCUUGUCAGUGACAUCUUGAAAAUUAAAAAAAAAUAAUACCUCCCUCACAUGCAUCCAUUCAGGUUGGCUGCCUGUAACUGACUGCGCCAUGCUUCAAAAUGUGUCACCUUAUUAAAUUCUGCAAAUUGUUCUGAACAUUGUCUCUAUAAAUGUUUUGGAAGGGCUUUACUGUCAGGUCAGCUUUCUAAGGGCUAGAAAUAUGUCAAACCUGGCAGCCUUACCUUUAUUUAAGAGCCAAAAUACAAAUAAGUAGAUUACAAAGCAAUCAAUCAAUACGGCAUUGCAGGAUGUUAUGGUUGGCAUUGACCUCGGAGUUCGGCACCCUCAUUUUACAGAUGAAUAAAUUCAUCCAUAAGCUCUGCAGGAGAUGGGGUUCGGCCUUGAUUCAGUUACAACUAGCUAACCUUGGACAUGCUGCUGUGCCUCAGUUUCCUCAUGUGACAGGGAGGAGCUUUCCUUUUGUUAGGUAAUCCCUCAGGCAUUUUCCUACUUCCAGUUUCUGUGUGUCACGACAAAAUGGAUUGUAUUGAUGCAUUUCUAGUCCUUAAAAAAGUUUCUUAACUCACACAGAAUAACUCUUCUAAUCUUUUAUGGGGCCUCCUUAUAUAUUCUCUAAAAGUUGGACACAUGAGCAAUUUAUAGUUAUUGGGAAAAUCGUAACUUUUAUUCACUGUCAAAAGAAUAAACAGACGAAGAUCUUUUCCCUGUUCUGAGCAUUUCUUCACUUUUUUCCCUCCCUGGUUUGUUGUUGUAGGGUUGCUUGGGGAUAUUAGGUUACUGACCUUUGUUUUUCUUUCUACAAGAAGCUUUCACUAAAGUAUUUUUUGGGGGGGGUGUCGUAUAAGAAACAAUGACUCUCACAUGCAAGUAAUUAAAUGGAUGUAAGGCAAGAAAAAAGUGGCACAAAUUUGAAUUGAUGAAUUUUCUUUCUGGAAACUCAUGGAGCCUAGUCUGAAAGCUGUGUGCAAGCAUGCAUGGGCUUUCUGAGAAUAUUUCCUCUCUUCUGAUAUACUGAAGUCUCUGGGUGAGUUUAGUUCCCCUGCAAGGGCUGGGCAGGAAAGUUUGGCAAACAAUCUAAUCUGAUAUGAUGCAUGCUUUUCUACUCAACUGUAAAAAUCUAUUUCAUUCAGAUAUCACCUGCUAUUCUUAUGGCAAGUCUUUGGAAUAGAGAUCCUAAAUGUGUCAAAAAUAUGUAACGCAUUUAUGAUAGAAAUAAAUAGAGACGAGGGUGACUUCAGCUUCCUUUCACAUGUGCUGGCCAGCACUUGCAGAAUUCAAAGUAGGUUAUGUUAGCCUUCCCACUUUCAAUGCCUUUAUGGAUGUGGUGUUUAUAUACCCUAGAUUUUCCAGGGCAGCCCUGGGUUGUAAAUAUUCUGUCCUGUUGUUCCCAUAAGUACAAUCAUACUUGUCAAGCCAUGUGUCAUGAGUUUCGGUUUGGAAAAUACGGGCUCUGUAUGUCCAUCAGAGCCUGUUGCUCUGGCCUGAUGCCUGAUGCUGCUGCUCCACUGUGCCCUACCCCUAGCCCACUUCCCGUACUCGUCAAAGGCUUGUUUCAGUUUUAGUCCACUUGCUCUCUCUGCCUCGUGUCUAGGGGACAAUGUGAACAGUAAACUAAUCUGUGCUAAUGGGCAAGCUGGGGAAAAUCAGCAGGAGAGGAUCCGCCUGGAUCCUCACAUCCCAGAAUGUUCUGUCUCCAUCCAGGUAGCUUAAGGGGCACUUUGGAAAUUGUGCCUUGACUUCGUUUAUCUCUAAGACAAAGUUGUUCUGCGGGUGGUUGGUGGGGACAGAUUACUUUUUU
This is a long non-coding RNA of Acinonyx jubatus (cheetah), 5989 nucleotides long. RefSeq lists it as uncharacterized. NCBI's taxonomy places the organism in Eukaryota, Metazoa, Chordata, Mammalia, Carnivora, Felidae. The record is from RefSeq and is a predicted model, not a curated record. The transcript has 6 exons.